Molecule: long non-coding RNA, 199 nt
Filed under: Elaeis guineensis (African oil palm)
Lineage: Eukaryota; Viridiplantae; Streptophyta; Magnoliopsida; Arecales; Arecaceae
Description: long non-coding RNA (EGUI_LNC006368)
Source: RNAcentral
CUCUUCCCUCAUCGCAAUCUCCUCCCUUUGCCAUCGUCCCAUCUCCUCAACACGCCCCACCUCCUCAACUCAUUCCCCAUCGCCACUCUUCCCUUUUGCUUUGUCCCAUCUUGUCAUAGAUCGGCCAUCGCCGCAAAUCGGCCACCACCCAACACCGCUCCUCCCACCUCUUGCCUUCCCAAUCUCCCAUCACCAUUCG